This 87-nucleotide transfer RNA is filed under the name Pseudomonadales bacterium. RNAcentral's name for it is "tRNA-Leu". It matches the Rfam family "tRNA". Rfam says of the family: Transfer RNA (tRNA) molecules are approximately 80 nucleotides in length. Their secondary structure includes four short double-helical elements and three loops (D, anti-codon, and T loops). Lineage: Bacteria; Pseudomonadati; Pseudomonadota; Gammaproteobacteria; Pseudomonadales. RNAcentral also lists the same sequence under 1 other name. The record is from RNAcentral.
GCCGAAGUGGUGGAAUUGGUAGACACGCUGCCUUGAGGGGGCAGUGGACUUGCGUCCGUGGAGGUUCGAGUCCUCUCUUCGGCACCA